RNAcentral lists this ribosomal RNA (305 nucleotides) under uncultured bacterium. Its description in RNAcentral is "bacterial SSU rRNA". It matches the Rfam family "Bacterial small subunit ribosomal RNA", at positions 28 to 334 of the family's 1533-position model. The record is from RNAcentral.
GACGAACGCUGGCGGCAGGCUUAACACAUGCAAGUCGAACGAGAAUUUGCCUUCGGGCAGAGGAAAGUGGCGCACGGGUGAGUAACGCGUGGGCACCUACCCUGAAGUGGGGAACAACCGCUGGAAACGGCGGCUAAUACCGCAUACGCCCGGUUUCAUUACGGUGAGAUCGGGGAAAGCUUUAUGCGCUUCAGGAUGGUCCCGCGUCGGAUUAGCUAGUUGGUGUGGUAACGGCGCACCAAGGCGACGAUCCGUAGCUGGUCUGAGAGGAUGAUCAGCCACACUGGAACUGAGACACGGUCCAG